GAUGAAGAACGCAGCGAAAUGCGAUAAGUAGUGUGAAUUGCAGAAUUCCGUGAAUCAUCGAAUCUUUGAACGCACAUUGCGCCUUCUGGUAUUCCGGAAGGCAUGCCUGUUCGAGAGUCAUUAACAACCGUUUCGAUCCCGUUCUUUCAGAAAUUACAAAGAGGAAAAGGGUUUGGUUAUGGUGGAGGAGGGAAAGGGAGCGUUUAGCCUGUAAAAAAAGAGGCUGUGUUCCGCCUCCCCCCCAAAAUUGUACAGGCGGUCGUGUGCGCCCACGCAUCGAGGUGUUGUAAAAGCUGCCACGGCACUUUUCACCUGUGCAGUGCGAGAUUGGCCAGCCGGUUUAAAAACCCCUCCAAACAAUCAAAGGUUGACCUCGGAUCAGGUAGGGAUACCCGCUGAACUUAAGCAUAUCAAUAAGCGGAGGA
RNAcentral lists this unclassified non-coding RNA (425 nucleotides) under soil metagenome. Its description in RNAcentral is "partial contains 5.8S ribosomal RNA, internal transcribed spacer 2, and large subunit ribosomal RNA". The stretch from base 1 to 120 matches the Rfam family "5.8S ribosomal RNA", at positions 35 to 154 of the family's 154-position model. The record is from RNAcentral.